Neopelma chrysocephalum (saffron-crested tyrant-manakin) is the source of this 1128-nucleotide long non-coding RNA. RefSeq lists it as uncharacterized. The record is from RefSeq and is a predicted model, not a curated record. The transcript is spliced from 2 exons. NCBI's taxonomy places the organism in Eukaryota, Metazoa, Chordata, Aves, Passeriformes, Pipridae.
CUCAGGAAUUUCAUCUUGGAUCUACUGCACUAUCUGGAAAGUUUUCAUUAUGUUUAAAGAAGAUGGAAUUGAGCUGCUGAUUUGAAACUGGCAUUUUCUUACUUAGAGAAAGAAUAAGAAGAUGUAGCUUGUGAAGACAAAAAGCUAUUUCCGAAUGAGGGACUGUGGUAGAGGAGUUAUGCGUGGGGGGUGGAGGUACUGAAAAUUUAAAAGGUUCUGAUGCCAUAAGUGUCUGAAUGGGAGGGUCUGUACGAAGCAUAAGCAAAAGGAUGUGCUCUAUUCUUUGUGGAUCCUCUCUCAUGUGCACUGAGCAUCAAAAUGCUGGUUCGGAUUACAGAUAGAUGUCAGUCUUUCUUCCUGCAAAUCUUCUCUGUAAAUGUGGUUUGUCUUAUUGAAUGAAAACUCAGCAGUGAUAGAAAAAGACCCUCAGUAGCCUGCAAGAGCCUCCCAGCUACCAGCUGGCCAAGGCCAGGACUUCUUACCAAAAGUAUAUGAAAAAGUGUCCUUCGAAGUCUUAAAUAGAAAAUUAAACUCCAAAGGAUAAGAAGAAACCCCAAGACACCAGUUUCAUGAAAAAUGUCAAAAAGAAGGGCAUCUGAAGGACAACAGUUUGUCAAAUCUACUACAAAGGCAGAUCUAAGCAAAGGGAACCUCAAAGAUGGGACAUCUCUGAGAUCUACAAAAAGAAAAUGACUGUGUCACAGAAGAAGAGGAGUAUGUGUAUCUCUGUUUAGAAUACAGAAGUUGUCUCUGCCAGUUUUGAAUUUCCCAAAUGAUGAAUCCAAAUAUUUAGUGGAGAGCUUAUGGAUGAAGAAUAAGAUAACUUAAGUCCGGAUUUGGACUUCAGUGGCAAUGGGGACUUCGUGGAGAGACAACAAUUUUGUUUUAGUAAGCUUGGUCGUCAGCUGAUGAAUAUCCAAGAAAGAAGGACCAUAGAGACACAGUCAUGUUAUCUGUUUUCAAAUGUAAUCUUUUCAUGUUAGGGUUGUGGACAGCUCUGUGUGAAGUGGGAAAUAGUUUGUUGAUGGUGGUGUUGUCCAUGCUGUCCAUGGUCCCGGGAUAAAUAACUCUGUUGCCAAGGCUGUCAGUUUGUUACCUGUCACAAACAAUAGAUAGCACUUGCUUGUU